This 474-nucleotide unclassified non-coding RNA is filed under the name Hevea brasiliensis (rubber tree). The record is from RNAcentral. Lineage: Eukaryota; Viridiplantae; Streptophyta; Magnoliopsida; Malpighiales; Euphorbiaceae.
GGGAGACUUCAUUACAUUGUGCAAGGAGCUGAGGCGGAUAAAAGUGGCUUGCUUGAAGGGAGAACAAAGAGUCCGGCGACCAUGGUGGGCCCCGUCUUGUAUCUCCGUAGUGUUUAUGAAGACGGCCAAGCGUAACAGGCAGUGUAGAGUGGUUUCACUGAAGCUGGAACCUUAGACACUAAUUACGCCAUCUUUGCGCAUCAUUAGUUAUAAUAUGUCCAGAGAAGUGAAAAAUCGAUCCCCGUCAGUUAUUUUCCUUGUAAUCCCCCUCUUCUGCCCAAGCUUUUAUGUAUACAUAAGGUUGUAGUCUUUACAUUUUUAGUUUGUGAUGUUUAUAGUAUCAAAUCAAGAAAAUAGAUGACUUUUAUGUAAAUUUCAAUGUGUAAUGUGUGAAUAGUUUCUAAACUUGAAUUGUAAGCCGGUGUAAUUUGUCUCUGAUUUGGUUGAUCUCAUUAAAGUCGUUUUAGAUUUGCC